This 370-nucleotide ribosomal RNA is filed under the name uncultured organism. RNAcentral's name for it is "bacterial SSU rRNA". It matches the Rfam family "Bacterial small subunit ribosomal RNA", at positions 526 to 896 of the family's 1533-position model. The record is from RNAcentral.
CGGAGGGUGCAAGCGUUAUCCGGAUUCACUGGGUUUAAAGGGUGCGUAGGUGGCUUUGUAAAGUCAGUGGUGAAAUCUCGGAGCUUAACUCCGCAACUGCCAUUGAUACUGCUUGGCUUGAAUCAAGUAGAGGUGGAUGGAAUAUUACAUGUAGCGGUGAAAUGCUUAGAUAUGUAAUAGAACACCGAUUGCGAAGGCAGUUCACUAUGCUUGUAUUGACACUGAGGCACGAAAGCGUGGGGAUCAAACAGGAUUAGAUACCCUGGUAGUCCACGCCCUAAACGAUGUAAACUCGACAUUAGCGAUAUACAGUUAGUGUCCAAGCGAAAGCGUUAAGUUUACCGCCUGGGAAGGUACGUCCGCAAGGAUG